Molecule: ribosomal RNA, 406 nt
Filed under: uncultured bacterium
Lineage: Bacteria
Description: partial 16S ribosomal RNA
Rfam family: Bacterial small subunit ribosomal RNA
Source: RNAcentral
AUUGAACGCUGGCGGCAGGCUUAACACAUGCAAGUCGAACGAGUGGCGGACGGGUGAGUAAUGCUUGGGAAUCUAGCUUAUGGAGGGGGAUAACUACGGGAAACUGUAGCUAAUACCGCGUAACAUAGGAUGAGCCCCAGUGGGAUUAGGUAGUUGGUGAGGUAAAGGCUCACCAAGCCGACGAUCUCUAGCUGGUCUGCGAGGAUGACCAGCCACACUGGGACUUAGACACGGCCCAGACUCCUACGGGAGGCAGCAGGGGGGAAUUGUGGACAAUGGGCGCAAGCCUGAUCCAGCCAUGCCGCGUGUCUGAAGAAGGCCGUCGGGUUGUAAAGCACUUGCAGCGGGGAGGCGUUACCCGCAGAAGAAGCACCGGCUAACUCCGUGCCAGCAGCCGCGGUGAUUC